AUGUCAAAAGCACCUCAAAAGACUAAGCACAAACUGGGCGAGGCCAGGCAGCGUUUCAAGCUGUAUCUUCCUCCCUGCCCGUGUUACAUAAUGGGUGGAGAUACACACAGUUUGUGCGUUGUCUGCCUCGGAGCGGAGCAUGCAGAGUCGGCAGAGUCGGCAGAUCGGCGGUCUUGCUUGUGGGGUUCGCAGUUGAAUCUGGCGGAGGGAACGGAGACAGGCAAGUUCCCUAUCUUCUUCCUCACCCGCCAGAUCCAGUACCCGUUCUCAGGGAUUGGAAACAUGCAUACUGAACUAUAUCGACGAUUGGUUGAUUUUAGCUCAAUCAGAGCAGACAGUGGUUUGACAUCGAGAUGUCAUUCUCGCCCACAUGAGAGAGCUAGGGUUAAGACUAAACGCCAAGAAAAGUGUACUUUCUCCAUUAUAGAGGACCAAUUAUCUAGGCGUGGUGUGGGAUUCGACCACGAUACAGGCAUGAAUGUCACCUGCUCGGAUCAAGUCGAUCCUCACCGCAGUCGCGGGAGCGAGAGAAGGCCGGUCACUCACUGUCAAGCAGUUUCAGAGACUGCUGGGUCUGAUGGCAGCUGCAUCCAACGUGAUACCUCUUGGCCUGCUGUACAUGAGACCCCUACAGUGGUGGCUCAAGAACAAGGGGUUCUCCCAAAGGGGAAACCCACUUUGCAUGAUCAAGGUCAUGCGGCGAUGCCUACGUGCCUUAUGUGGAGAAAGCCUUGGUUCUUGUUUCAGGGCCCGGAGCUGGGAGCUCCUUGUUGCUGCGUAACGCUAGCGACGGUCGUGUUCCUCACUGGCUGGGGUGAGGUCAUGAGUGGCCACCCUGGCCACGGUCUGUGGAGUGGUCGCCAUCUGACAUGGCAUAUAAACUACCUGGAGAUGCUGGCCGUGCUUCGAGCACUACAACACUUUCUCCCAGACCUAAGAGGUCACCAUGUGUUGGUGCGCAAUGACAACACUGCGGUGGUCUCUUACAUCAACCACCAAGGGGGUCUGCGCUCACUCCGUUUGUACAAACUAGCAUACCAGAUCCUUGAUUUCCCUCCUCGACGGCUCUCCUUGGGAGAUUCCCGUCAGGAGGGAUCUCCUCUUACAGGCGGAGGGCACUAUAGUCCACCCCCGCCCGGAGCUGUGGAAUUUAUGGGUGUGGCCUCUGAGGGGGCACAACUCGUAGCUUCCGGUCUCUCAACCAAGGUUGUUGAGACCAUCCUCCAAUCCAGAGCUCCCUCAAUGAGGAAACUGUACACCUUGAAGUGGAAGCUUUUCACUUCUUGGUGUGGAGACCGCCAGCUCAACCCAGUUAACUGCCCAGUUGGUACAGUGCUGCAGUACAGGGCUGCAGGCCCGCUUCUCCGCAGGGUUGACCCACUCCACCCUGAAGGUCUAGGUGGCGGCCAUUGCGGACUACCACGCCCCUCUCGGUGGCCAGUCAGUGGGCAGACACCCCCUAGUUAA
Molecule: long non-coding RNA, 1467 nt
Organism: Cyprinus carpio (common carp)
Lineage: Eukaryota; Metazoa; Chordata; Actinopteri; Cypriniformes; Cyprinidae
Source: Ensembl